RNAcentral lists this ribosomal RNA (504 nucleotides) under uncultured bacterium. RNAcentral's name for it is "bacterial SSU rRNA". It matches the Rfam family "Bacterial small subunit ribosomal RNA", at positions 25 to 518 of the family's 1533-position model. The record is from RNAcentral.
CAGGAUGAACGCUAGCUACAGGCUUAACACAUGCAAGUCGAGGGGCAGCAUGAGAUUAGCUUGCUAAUCUUGAUGGCGACCGGCGCACGGGUGAGUAACGCGUAUCCAACCUUCCCCUUAGUAGGGCAUAGCCCGGCGAAAGUCGGAUUAAUACCCUAUGUCUUCGUAGAGGACAUCUGAAAUGAAGCAAAGAUUUAUCGCUAAGGGAUGGGGAUGCGUCUGAUUAGGUAGUCGGCGGGGUAACGGCCCACCGAGCCUGCGAUCAGUAGGGGUUCUGAGAGGAAGGUCCCCCACAUUGGAACUGAGACACGGUCCAAACUCCUACGGGAGGCAGCAGUGAGGAAUAUUGGUCAAUGGGCGCGAGCCUGAACCAGCCAAGUAGCGUGCCAGGAUGACGGCCCUAUGGGUUGUAAACUGCUUUUAUGCGGGGAUAAAGUGCACCACGUGUGGUGUUUUGUAGGUACCGCAUGAAUAAGGACCGGCUAAUUCCGUGCCAGCAGCGGC